RNAcentral lists this ribosomal RNA (300 nucleotides) under uncultured Oligosphaera sp. RNAcentral describes it as "partial 16S ribosomal RNA". The stretch from base 52 to 300 matches the Rfam family "Bacterial small subunit ribosomal RNA", at positions 547 to 795 of the family's 1533-position model. The record is from RNAcentral. Lineage: Bacteria; Pseudomonadati; Lentisphaerota; Oligosphaeria; Oligosphaerales; Oligosphaeraceae.
GGAAAGGACGUGCGAGCGGGGGGGGAAAGGCGUGGGGGGGGUGCGUGGUCGGGAAUGUAUGGGGGUGAGGGUGUCGGUGGUGGUUGGUGGCUGUGUGGGUGAAAGAGCGCAGCUGGAGGGGGGGGGGGCGGGCGAGAGGGGCAGACUGGAGGACUGCAGGGGAGACUGGAAUUCCGGGUGUAGCGGGGGAAUGAGCAGAUAUCAGGAGGAACACCGGUGGCGAAGGCGGGUCUCUGGGCAGUAACUGACGCUGAGGAGCGAAAGCGUGGGGAGCGAACAGGAUUAGAUACCCUGGUAGUC